Molecule: ribosomal RNA, 253 nt
Filed under: uncultured bacterium
Lineage: Bacteria
Description: partial 16S ribosomal RNA
Rfam family: Bacterial small subunit ribosomal RNA
Source: RNAcentral
UACGGGGGGGGCAAGCGUUGUUCGGAAUUACUGGGCGUAAAGGGCUCGUAGGCGGCAAACUAAGUCAUACGUGAAAUCCCUCGGCUUAACCGGGGAACUGCGUCUGAUACUGGAUGGCUUGAGAUUGGGAGAGGGAUGCGGAAUUCCAGGUGUAGCGGUGAAAUGCGUAGAUAUCUGGAGGAACACCGGUGGCGAAGGCGGCAUCCUGGACCAACACUGACGCCGAGGAGCGAAAUCCAGGGGAGCAAACGGG